UCACACUAAACAAGAAAAGAUACAGAGUGUAUUUUGGAGCCUCUGUCUCUGCCGGAAAGUCCAGAUGGUGGUGCUGCUGUAGAAAGUUGUCCCUAUGUGCCAUGUAUUUUCUGUGAAGAAUGCUAUCUCUUAGCUGAACAAAACCAGCUCCUGAAGCACAUGAUUAUUGAACACAAGCUUGUCAUAGCAGAUAUGAAACUGGUUGCAGAUUUUAGAAGAUACAUCUUGUACUGGAAGAAAAGGUUUGCAGAACAGCCCAUCACAGACUUUUGUAGUGUGAUAAAAACAAAUUCAGAAGCACCAUUAGAAGAGCAGGAAAAUUAUUUUCUUCUAUGUGAUGUUUUACCAGAAGACAGAUUACUUAGAGAACAGCUUCAGCAAAAGAGACUGAGAGAAAUUUUAGAACAACAACAGCGAGAGAGAUAUGACAUAAGUUUUCGUAGUAUGUGUAUGUUCUGUGAUCAAGAAUUCACAGGAAACAGAUCUGUCCUUCUGAAUCAUAUGGCAAGAGAGCAUGCUUUUAAUAUUGGGCUGCCAGACAACAUUGUGAAUUGCUGUGAGUUCUUGGCUGUAUUGCAGGAAAAACUUGACAAUUUGCAGUGUUUAUACUGUGAAAAAGUCUUCAGAGACAAAAACACACUUAAAGAUCACAUGAGAAAGAAACAGCAUCGCAGAAUCAAUGCCAAAAACAAAGAAUAUGACAAAUUUUAUAUCAUUAAUUACUUGGAAUUUGGAAAGUCCUGGGAGGAAGUGCAGUCAGAGGAUGACCGGGAAUUACUGGAUAACCUAGAAGAAGACUGGUCUGAUUGGGAAGAGCAUCCUGUGUGUGCAGUUUGCCUGUUCUGUGAACAACAAGCAGACACCACAGAAAAAUUGUAUCUUCACAUGCAGAAAUCACAUGGAUUUGACUUUCCUAAAAUAAAGUCAGAGCAUGGUUUGAACUUUUAUCAGCAAGUAAAGCUAGUGAACUUCAUCAGAAGAGAAAUUCAUCACUGUCGUUGUUACAACUGCCAGAAGAAAUUUCAGUCUAAAGGAGAAUUGAUAAGUCAUAUGGAAAAGACCAAACACAUUACACUCCUGCCAGCCAGGUCUACAUGGGAUCAACCACAGUAUUAUUUUCCUACCUAUGAAAAUGAUACGCUCCUGUGUACACUGUCAGACAGUGAAGAUCUGAUAACUGAGGAUCAAAGGGAAGAUAUUCCUGUUCUGAUACUUGGAUGAGAUUCUCUUCUCAAAAGUUACUGCAAUGGUACCUUUGUCCAUAUUCUCAUCUUAACCAGAGGUCUGAGUUUUCUAACUUGCACAGAACCACUCAGACAAAUAGGCUACAUUUCAGAAAACAAUGGGGAUCCAUUAAAGAAUCUUUAUUAAAAGAACCCCUGAUAUUCUCCCUAUGGCCCCUGUUUUAUUUGGACUGGAAAAAAAAUCUUUUGGAGAUUUUCACCAGAUGGCUGCUUACACCUGCAGCAGUCCUAGAGUGCUCUCAAUGAGCUUUCUACCUCAAAGUGUAGUAGAGAGGCAGGUGAAAGCAGCAUGUCCAGCCUGUGGCAGGAUGCUGGGAUCCAUGCUGCAAUGGAACAGCAUGGACUAUUUCCCCACUGAUGCUGGACUGUCCCCAGUGACCUUUAAAGACCAAGGAGAUGGAGUUCUGCUGCUUGCUGGUAGACUCUGGUGCCACUGGGAAAAUUGUCUAAUUGCCCCUAAUGACUGGUUUGAAACCAGCUAGAUAGGAUUCCAAUCAAUACCUAAAAUGAAUGUCAGCAUCCUGCCAGGCAAGGAUUUUCUGCUAUUUAGUUUUGUUUCCAUCUGAAAAAAGAACUCCUUAACACAUUUGACAGUGUUUAUCUACUAAAUUUCUUUUGAGCUUUGUGCUGAUUAAAAAUAGUAGAGUCAUAGACUCUCCCUCUCUUGUUCCUGGUGGUUUAUUCUUCAUCUUUUCUUCUGCCAAUAUCCCUCCCAUUACACCUAGCCACACCCCACUCCUUGGUCACGUCUACCUUGCAGGCUCACAGGAGUCAUACACAGAGUAAGAUCAGACUCUGGUUUUCCUCCCAUGGGAUGACAAAGUCCAAUAAUACUGCAGUGGCAGCU
Molecule: RNA transcript, 2091 nt
Organism: Athene cunicularia (burrowing owl)
Lineage: Eukaryota; Metazoa; Chordata; Aves; Strigiformes; Strigidae
Gene: ZNF277
Gene name: zinc finger protein 277
Exons: 14
Source: RefSeq, a predicted model, not a curated record